Molecule: ribosomal RNA, 253 nt
Filed under: uncultured bacterium
Lineage: Bacteria
Description: partial 16S ribosomal RNA
Rfam family: Bacterial small subunit ribosomal RNA
Source: RNAcentral
UACGGAGGGGGCUAGCGCUGUUCGGAAUUACUGGGCGUAAAGCGCACGCAGGUGGCUGAGUCAGUCGAUUGUGAAAGCCCUGGGCUUAACCUAGGAAUUGCAGUCGAUACUACUCGGCUAGAGUAUGGGAGAGGGCAGUGGAAUUCCCGGUGUAGCGGUGAAAUGCGUAGAUAUCGGGAGGAACAUCAGUGGCGAAGGCGGCUGCCUGGCCCAAUACUGACACUCAGGUGCGACAGCGUGGGGAGCAAACAGG